Molecule: ribosomal RNA, 415 nt
Filed under: uncultured bacterium
Lineage: Bacteria
Description: bacterial SSU rRNA
Rfam family: Bacterial small subunit ribosomal RNA
Source: RNAcentral
UGGGGAAUAUUGGACAAUGGGCGCAAGCCUGAUCCAGCAAUGCCGCGUGGGUGAAGAAGGUCUUCGGAUUGUAAAGCCCUUUCGGCGGGGACGCGGUACCCGCAGAAGAAGCCCCGGCUAACUUCGUGCCAGCAGCCGCGGUAAUACGAAGGGGGCUAGCGUUGCUCGGAAUUACUGGGCGUAAAGGGCGCGUAGGCGGCACCAUCAGUCAGGCGUGAAAUUCCCGGGCUUAACCUGGGGACUGCGCUUGAUACAGUGGAGCUAGAGGACGGAAGAGGCUCGUGGAAUUCCCAGUGUAGAGGUGAAAUUCGUAGAUAUUGGGAAGAACACCGGUGGCGAAGGCGGCGAGCUGGUCCGUUACUGACGCUGAGGCGCGACAGCGUGGGGAGCAAACAGGAUUAGAUACCCUUGUAGU